This 69-nucleotide transfer RNA is filed under the name Allobates conspicuus. RNAcentral's name for it is "tRNA-Arg". It matches the Rfam family "tRNA". Rfam says of the family: Transfer RNA (tRNA) molecules are approximately 80 nucleotides in length. Their secondary structure includes four short double-helical elements and three loops (D, anti-codon, and T loops). Further hydrogen bonds mediate the characteristic L-shaped molecular structure. tRNAs have two regions of fundamental functional importance: the anti-codon, which is responsible for specific mRNA codon recognition, and the 3' end, to which the tRNAs corresponding amino acid is attached (by aminoacyl-tRNA synthetases). tRNAs cope with the degeneracy of the genetic code in two manners: having more than one tRNA (with a specific anti-codon) for a particular amino acid; and 'wobble' base-pairing, i.e. permitting non-standard base-pairing at the 3rd anti-codon position. The record is from RNAcentral. Lineage: Eukaryota; Metazoa; Chordata; Amphibia; Anura; Aromobatidae.
GAAACGUUAGUCUAAUGAAAGACAGCUGAUUUCGACUCAGCAGACUAUGGUGCAAUUUCAUAAUGUUUC